CGGGACGGGUGAGUAAUGUCUGGGAAACUGCCUGAUGGAGGGGGGUAACUACUGGAAACGGUAGCUAAUACCGCAUAACGUCGCAAGACCAAGAGGGGGACCUUCGGGCCUCUUGCCAUCGGAUGUGCCCAGAUGGGAUUAGCUAGUAGGUGGGGUAACGGCUCACCUAGGCGACGAUCCCUAGCUGGUCUGAGAGGAUGACCAGCCACACUGGAACUGAGACACGGUCCAG
This 232-nucleotide ribosomal RNA is filed under the name uncultured bacterium. RNAcentral's name for it is "partial 16S ribosomal RNA". It matches the Rfam family "Bacterial small subunit ribosomal RNA", at positions 100 to 334 of the family's 1533-position model. The record is from RNAcentral.